GACGAACGCUGGCGGCGUGCUUAACACAUGCAAGUCGAACGGAAAGGCCCUGCUUUUGUGGGGUGCUCGAGUGGCGAACGGGUGAGUAACACGUGAGUAACCUGCCCUUGACUUUGGGAUAACUUCAGGAAACUGGGGCUAAUACCGGAUACGAGCUCCUGCUGCAUGUUGGGGGUUGGAAUGUUUCGGCGGUUGGGGAUGGACUCGCGGCUUAUCAGCUUGUUGGUGGGGUAGUGGCUUACCAAGGCUUUGACGGGUAGCCGGCCUGAGAGGGUGACCGGCCACAUUGGGACUGAGAUACGGCCGAGACUCCUACGGGAGGCAGCAGUGGGGAAUAUUGCACAAUGGGCGGAAGCCUGAUGCAGCAACGCCGCGUGCGGGAUGAAGGCCUUCGGGUUGUAAACCGCUUUCGCCUGUGACGAAGCGUGAGUGACGGUAAUGGGUAAAGAAGCACCGGCUAACUACGUG
RNAcentral lists this ribosomal RNA (468 nucleotides) under uncultured bacterium. Its description in RNAcentral is "partial 16S ribosomal RNA". It matches the Rfam family "Bacterial small subunit ribosomal RNA", at positions 28 to 507 of the family's 1533-position model. The record is from RNAcentral.